AUGAAUAAUGUAUGCUAAUUGUGUGGGCGGUGCAAACUUAAAUUAAAGACAAAAACUUGAAAAAGGAACCAAUUUUUGAAGAGUGAGAUCGGGAGCAACAGAAAAGAUCAUCAUUCAUUUCAAUAAUAGCACAAAAGUCCAUCUAGCCAAAAUAUGGCAAAGCAACUAGCGUAAGCAGAUUUAUCCAUCAAUACAAUUGCUCUAUUUUAAUUUAAAUGACCAAAAUAUCUUUGAUGUGUUAGAACUGAUGUAUAUUGAUCUCUGCCUGCUGCUUUGGCACUGAAACUCCCUUUUAUUAUAUAUAUAUAUGUGUGAAAAUAACCACAGAGAUGAUGGUCGAAAUACUUAUCGAUCAGAGGAUAAUUGUAAAAAUCAAGAAAAAAUGUGCUUAUUUAUGAUAUACAUAGCUGAAGAAGAAGUUGUACUAUUGCAGGAGUUCACGUCAAAACCAAUUGGUUUUCCACUAUUCCAGCCUCGUCCCUCCGGCCUCUGCAACUUGUUUACCUCAGCUUUUGUCCCUGGUCCUUUAUUUGAUUUCGUUUUCUGUGUUCAUGUUCUUUGGUAAAUAUUACCAAGUUUUGAGACCUUUCAAUUGACUAAGAAAGUCAUAUGAUGUCAGGGGCAUUGUUAAUCAACGCAAUACAAUUAUUUGCCACUUCUUUAUUCCUAUAAUACUUUAUCUGUGCUCAUAUAUUUUCAUAAAUCUAUGCAAUAUUGAACAUUUU
Molecule: long non-coding RNA, 725 nt
Filed under: Capsicum annuum
Lineage: Eukaryota; Viridiplantae; Streptophyta; Magnoliopsida; Solanales; Solanaceae
Description: long non-coding RNA (CANN_LNC002976)
Source: RNAcentral